CCUUUGUGAUGACACCCGCACACGUCUUACGCCUUGUGUUGACGCCAGAACCUGAAAAGGUGGACCCACUGGCGUUACCCUGGCAACAAGGGGAUGACUUGUUGGGGCUACCAACAGUCUGAAUGGA
This is a small nucleolar RNA of Larimichthys crocea (large yellow croaker), 127 nucleotides long. Its record names the gene SNORD22. It matches the Rfam family "Small nucleolar RNA SNORD22". Rfam says of the family: U22 is a member of the C/D class of snoRNA which contain the C (UGAUGA) and D (CUGA) box motifs. U22 is encoded within the U22 snoRNA host gene (UHG) in mammals and has also been identified in Xenopus. The record is from Ensembl. Lineage: Eukaryota; Metazoa; Chordata; Actinopteri; Sciaenidae.